Molecule: ribosomal RNA, 497 nt
Filed under: uncultured bacterium
Lineage: Bacteria
Description: partial 16S ribosomal RNA
Rfam family: Bacterial small subunit ribosomal RNA
Source: RNAcentral
GAUGAACGCUGGCGGCGUGCCUAAUACAUGCAAGUCGAGCGAACAGACGAGGAGCUUGCUCCUCUGACGUUAGCGGCGGACGGGUGAGUAACACGUGGAUAACCUACCUAUAAGACUGGGAUAACCUCGGGAAACCGGAGCUAAUACCGGAUAAUAUAUUGAACCGCAUGGUUCAAUAGUGAAAGACGGUUUCGCUGUCACUUAUAGAUGGAUCCGCGCCGCAUUAGCUAGUUGGUAAGGUAACGGCUUACCAAGGCAACGAUGCGUAGCCGACCUGAGAGGGUGAUCGGCCACACUGGAACUGAGACACGGUCCAGACUCCUACGGGAGGCAGCAGUAGGGAAUCUUCCGCAAUGGGCGAAAGCCUGACGGAGCAACGCCGCGUGAGUGAUGAAGGUCUUCGGAUCGUAAAACUCUGUUAUUAGGGAAGAACAAAUGUGUAAGUAACUAUGCACGUCUUGACGGUACCUAAUCAGAAAGCCACGGCUAACUACGUG